Molecule: long non-coding RNA, 370 nt
Filed under: Equus caballus (horse)
Lineage: Eukaryota; Metazoa; Chordata; Mammalia; Perissodactyla; Equidae
Description: lncRNA (ENSECAG00000046628.1)
Source: RNAcentral
CUUUCCUGCCGCCUGCCUUCCAGGGCGCUUUGAUGGCAGCCGUCCCGGUACUGAUGGAGUCAGUGUCCGGAGACCAGAGGCUCACGUAGGGCUAUUCGACAAAACAUUUCGGUCGCUUUGUCAAGAAAAUUCUCCAGUUUAUAGAUUCUGUAGCUGCACUUUUACAGGGAGCCAGCUCCAUGGCCAAGCGGUUAAGUUUGCACACUCCACUUCAGCAGCCCAGGGUUCACCGGUUUGGAUCCUAGGCGCGGACCUACACACUACUCGUUACCCCAUGCUUGUGGUGGCAUCCCACAUAGAGGAGCUAGAAUGACUUACACUAGGAUAUACAAGUUUCACUGAAUGGCAAGAGGCAAUUACCCAACCUGGA